AUGCACGCUGGCGGCGUGCUUAACACAUGCAAGUCGAACGAUGAGGCCCAGCUUGCUGGGUGGAUUAGUGGCGAACGGGUGAGUAACACGUGAGUAACCUGCCCUUGACUCUAGGAUAAGCCCGGGAAACUGGGUCUAAUACUGGAUAGGAACGUCUACCGCAUGGUGGGUGUUGGAAAGAAUUUCGGUCAUGGAUGGACUCGCGGCCUAUCAGCUUGUUGGUGAGGUAAUGGCUCACCAAGGCGACGACGGGUAGCCGGCCUGAGAGGGUGACCGGCCACACUGGGACUGAGACACGGCCCAGACUCCUACGGGAGGCAGCAGUGGGGAAUAUUGCACAAUGGGCGAAAGCCUGAUGCAGCGACGCCGCGUGAGGGAUGACGGCCUUCGGGUUGUAAACCUCUUUCAGUAGGGAAGAAGCGAAAGUGACGGUACCUGCAGAAGAAGCACCGGCUAACUACGUG
This 464-nucleotide ribosomal RNA is filed under the name uncultured bacterium. RNAcentral's name for it is "partial 16S ribosomal RNA". It matches the Rfam family "Bacterial small subunit ribosomal RNA", at positions 29 to 507 of the family's 1533-position model. The record is from RNAcentral.